Molecule: long non-coding RNA, 3597 nt
Organism: Ahaetulla prasina
Lineage: Eukaryota; Metazoa; Chordata; Lepidosauria; Squamata; Colubridae
Exons: 3
Source: RefSeq, a predicted model, not a curated record
GGGAGGGGGAGGGGAAAGAACGAGUCCCGGGCGCGGCGGAAGCAUUCGGAGGCCCGCGAGGGAGGUGGAGGGGGGGGCUCGUGAGAGAGAGCCGAAGAGCUCGUUUAGCGAGCGGGAAAACGCGGCUCGGAGCUGGGAACAGCCUCCCGCCCUCCCCCCUCUCCGCUCCCUCGCCGGGGGCGCUUCUCAGCGAGUUUCAGAGACGCCAAGCCCAGCCGAGGCAGCGAGCGAGCGAGCUCCGGUGACGAGCCUGCCCUCCUCUUCGCCCAGAGCCAGGGGGAGGCGGCCUCGUUCCUCCUAGCCACGAGCCCCAGGGUGGGCCGCUUCCAGGCAGCCCUCCCCGCACCCCGCGUGCCUCCGCUUUCGGGCAAGGAGGCCUCGCCUCAGAGGGCCACUUUCCCUGACGCGCGUGGAAAUAAACGAGCUUAUCUGCAGCUCGCCACGGUGGACCCGCGGGCUGUUUUACACCCGCCUCGGGGAUAUUUCACUUCGCCUGGAGUAGUUUUAAUGAUAGUUUAUUUUUUUAAAAAAAAUAAUAAUAAAAAUGACCCCCUCCCCCAACGCAGGCAUUCACUCGCGGAACACCUGAUCGCAGAGUGCAAACAUUGGCUUAACGUCAGGGUUUGCCUCACAGAUUGACUGAAACAAACGCGUUUUUCCUCCCCAGGAGGAGGACGUUUCACAUGGCCGGAGCUUCUCUGGAAAUUUGACCAGAUACAAAUGAGGAUAAGCUGCUGCAGCUUUACUCCAUGUAGAAAAAACGAUAGUAGGAAACUGAAGUUAAAGAGAAACUACUGUAUUCUCUGAAUUUGGUUUUCAGGAUACAUGGAUAAAUCGCAUUCUGGUGUGAGAGAGAAGUUCCCUGAGGAUGGGGUCCAGCACAAAUCCAAACGCUCGGAAGACUAAGUGACCGACCCAGAUUGUGAAUGCUACUAUAUGGAUAAAGUACAGGUAGUCCUCCACUUACGACCACAAUUGGGACUAGAAUUUUCAUUGCUAAUCAAGGCAGCUGCGAAGUGAGCCAUGCCCAAGUUCACAGCCUUUUUUCUUGUGGUUGUUAAGCGAAUCACUGCAGUUAAAACGAAUCGUGGCUGUUAAGCAAAUCCGGCUUAGCCCACUGACUUUUUUUGUCAGAAGACAGCUGGGAAGGUUGCUGAUGACAUGACCCUGGGACACUGCAGUCGUCAUAAACACAGGCUGGUUGCCAACUCCCAACUUUUGAUCAUGUGAUUCUGGGGAUGUUGCAAAGAUUGAAACUGCAAAGACUGGUUGUAAAUAACUUUCAGUUGCUAAAUAAAUGGCUGUAAGUGGAAGACCACCUGUACUGUUAAGUGUGCCCAGCUGUACUUGCACUUGCAUGUAACAAAGCAUGUAUGUGCCGUGACAACUGUCUCAAUGAAGUAGCCUUCAUCUCAUCCUUUGUAUUUUGAGUAUUCCCAUUGAAUCCUCUUAUUAUUAUACCAUGCAAGAGCAAACGUCAACUUGCAUAAAAUAGGUUAGGCUUGAUCACCUGUUAUCUUGGAGGGUCAUGAGGGCCUGGAAUAGGCAGUAGAGGCAGGAUAGCAAGGGGUUUAGCAAAUUUCAUAUCAAGACUGGAUGGAGAACACUAAUUCUUUAGUAGAAAAGUGCACUAAGAGAGUUGCAGCUUCAUCUAUCUCUUUCUGUUUCUCUUGUUUUGAAGUUAUGUAAACAUUUUGGAAGAAAGAUAUGUUAUUCUGCAUGCUUAGAUGGAGAUCUGAUUUAUGGGAAUUUUUAUUAACAAAAUGCACCAGUAAGGGCACAGAGGUCAAACUUGAUUUUGUCACGUGACAUAUUGUGAUGGUUUUUUACCUUUGCAGAGCUGGGGUGAGCUUGGCCUGUAUGUGAUGCAUCUGCUCUGCAGGCUGUCAGUUUGACAGGCCUGAAUAAGGGAGACUGUUGUUGUUGUGUCCCAGGCCCAAGUAGGUAGUAGUAGACGCACUCAGUUCAAAAACAAACAGACUUUAUUAGAACAGCUGAAAAUUAACUCAUUCUCAGCGUGGUCCAAACUAAAUCAAAGCAAAUUCUUCCUAACACAAUUCUUCAGUCUUAUCAGCAACCUUGGUCUAAGUAGGCAAACUGCCAAAGGCUUUUCUUGGCAAAAGUUCAAAAGCAGAAGAUGCCGACAAGAAAUAAAUGCAGCAAGACAAGGAGCAAUUCUAUCAACGUUUUCCGGCAAAGAGCCCAAACGUCGUUGCUGGUCUUUUAAGCCUUAUGGGAGGGGCCAAUCAUCUCUUGGCCCUACUCCCAAGUCGUCCUCUUUGCUUUAGCUGCUCUUGCUUUCUGGCAGAUCUUCUCAUGCAUACAUUAGGAACAGGCUCCUCCUGUUCCUCUGCCUCACUACUGUCAGCCUCUGGAGGCUCCGGAGUCCGCAUGUCACUCCCAGAUGGCCCUGGCCCAGGGGUGAAAUGUUCCCAAUUCGGACCGGAUCAUUUGAUCCGGUAGUGAUGGCGGCGGGUGGUUCGGAGAACCGGUAGCAAAAGUCCCUGCUCCCCCUUCCCCCUGCAUGCCCAGCUGAGCCAUGCGAUCAUCAGAGGUUUUUUUUACUUUUAAAAGCAUUUUUUCUUUGGCCGAAAAAAUACUUUUAAAAGUAAAAAAAAAAAAAAGUUGGCCACGCCCACCCAGUCACAUUACACUCCCCCACCAAGCCACGCCCACAGAACCAGUAGUAACAGAUUUUACAUCUCACUGGCCCCACCUCUGCCUCAACGCAGAGCCCUCAUCCGGGCCUUCCCCAGCCUCCAGGACUGGCCCAUGUUCUUUCUCAGCCUCAUCGCUGUCCGACUCGGUUGCCAGCUCCGCAGGCAGCUGGCGGACCACAACAGUUGUAUACCAUAUGUGCAUGGUUGAAAGUAAUGAUUUAUAACCAUCAAGUGAUGGUCCCCAGGACUGAUGAUGGUUGAAGCUAUUGAAUGGUGAUGUGAGACUCCCAAGUUUUAACAGAAUAGUAUUUGGGAUAGGUGGGUGGUAUGCUGGUAAGAAAAUUAUGGUCCAAAAUAUUGUAAGGACUGAAUUCUGCACCUAAUAAAUAAAUACACUUCCACAAAUAUGAGGCAAGCUAGGAGAAAUAUUAAAUCCAGAUUUUUUUUUAAAAAAAGUUAAAAGUGUUCAUUUUCUGAUCCAGAGCACCAGUUUUGUAAACCUUCAAACAUGUCAUGGUAAAAAAAAAGUGUUGCAUGUGCAUAUUUUGUGUGCUUGUAGUGUCAAAAAGCAAAAUUUAAAUUAACCAGCCACAUAGUUUUGCUCUUUAAAAUUCAGAAUAUUUUCCAAGUCUGCUCUUGGUCCUAUAUUUACUGUUCUACUCAGGUUUAUCAUUCUGAAAUGUCGGAGUUGCCCUUUUUCUCCAGGUUCAUUACUAUACAUGCUUUUGCCCUGAUCUUAUUUCUGAACAACUAACAUCAAGAAUAUUUAGGAGGCCACAAAACCAAUAUAUUACAGCUUUUUUUAAAAAAAGGAGUUUCACAUUUGGCCCAAGAUCUCUUCUAUUACUUUUCUCCCUGCUUUUCCUUUGCAUUCCCUUUUAAAGCCCCUGCAGGUUGAGGUUUAUAUUACAGGAACAGAAUGUGCUGUACCUUAGGU